RNAcentral lists this long non-coding RNA (669 nucleotides) under Brachypodium distachyon (stiff brome). RNAcentral describes it as "long non-coding RNA (BDIS_LNC002032)". Lineage: Eukaryota; Viridiplantae; Streptophyta; Magnoliopsida; Poales; Poaceae. The record is from RNAcentral.
CGCGGGCCCUGCUGACCUCCGCAUUGCGCCCCCCGUGCCCCAUGGCCGCCACCCGAGCACGCGCGCCCUGCUCCGCCGCUCUUCCCUGAUCGCAAGCCCGCACGAGACAGAGGAAGGCAACGAAGGGGCAGACGUGGGGACGCCGCCGGGAACCGGGAAAAGAAGCCGGGAGGGCAGAUCCACACAUACGAGGCCACGACGGAGCUGACCGAAUUGAUGGUCGCGCCGUUCGAAGCGAUGGCGGAGGCAGCCGGCUUCGGGGACGGGAUUGAGGCUUCGUCGGCCCGAUUCAGUGGGGGUAUGGGCUCGGGCAUGUGGAUGCGGUGAAGACGGCCGGAGCUGGCUGGCGGAGAUCGAAGGCGGCACGACGAGGUUGGGUCAGGUGGCCGGGCGCGAAAACAAAGUGAAACAGACCGUUUUUUUACCCGCGCAAGCUUUUCUCGUUGCAGGGAACGAGCUCUCGGUGAGCUGGCUGGAGCUCUUUUUUGCAACUUUUAAGGAACGGUGACAGUUAUUUUAGGGAAAGGAGCUUUUUAGAGAACCUGCAAGAGAUGCUCUUACUUGCAUUUGAAACUUUGGAUGUUACUACCUUAUUUACUUACUCCGUAUUUGCAUUUGGGACCCUUUGGACACUGCUAUUCGUCAUUAUAACCAUGAUGGAAACAAAAC